GGUGGUGGGGACCAGGGAUAUGGGAGUGGCCGGUAUGACAGUCGACCUGGAGGUUAUGGAUAUGGAUACGGACGGUCCCGAGACUAUAGUGGCAGAAGCCAGGGUGGCUAUGACCGCUACUCAGGAGGAAAUUAUCGAGACAAUUAUGACAACUGAGUUGAGGCAUGCACACGUUAAGUAGAUACACAAGGAAUAACACUUCUGAUCCAGGAUCGUCCUUCCAAAUCGCUGUAUUUAUAAAGAUUUUUGGAGCUGCGCUGAAACAUCUGUUUUA
Urocitellus parryii (Arctic ground squirrel) is the source of this 274-nucleotide long non-coding RNA. The record is from Ensembl. Lineage: Eukaryota; Metazoa; Chordata; Mammalia; Rodentia; Sciuridae.